RNAcentral lists this long non-coding RNA (2067 nucleotides) under Marmota monax (woodchuck). Lineage: Eukaryota; Metazoa; Chordata; Mammalia; Rodentia; Sciuridae. The record is from RNAcentral.
CCAGGUCAAUCGCGCAAACAAUAUAAAGAAAACGAGUAGAAUACAGAUCCAAGAGCCAGAAAAAUAGCCAACCUGUCUUACGUGGGUUAUUUUUCUGUUUCCCUAUGGAUGAUGUUAGUAGAUUUGCACACAACUGUCCUUUAUGGUCAGAAAACCUAAUUCCUCUGCAGUUUGGGUCCCAGGCCUGAGGGGGCCCUCAUGAGAAAGGAGUGGGGGACAUUUUGGUGGUGCACCUGCAGACCGAGGACGUCCUUCUGGGUGAUCUGGGGCCCGCAGCCUGUGCCGUCCUGUCGGAGGCUCCCUGGGAUCUCUCCCCAGAGCCGCACAGGCCUGGUGCUGUGCACCCUGAGGCUGGUGUCUUCGCCUGCCUGGGAGUUCCCCAGGAAGCCACAGGGUGGGUCUCCAGGCACCUGUGGCAGUGUCCAUGCCCUCCUGUCCAGAUGGAAAGGCUGUGGGGUAGAAUUCCUCCUGGGACAUGGCCGUGGCUCUCAGUGCCGUAGGCGGUUAUUGUAUUUCCUCACUUUGGUGUCGAGGAGAGAAGUCCCCAAAUGUCUAACUUAUUUCUGUAAAAAAAUUAACAUAAGAAAAACGUGUUGCUUUCUGGCAUUGUGUUUCAGCUCCUGAUCAGAAAACGACGUCACGGAGAAGCACAGUGACCUGUGUGGAGGGUCCUUGUUUUCUCAGUUUUAAUUUGAAGAAACACACUGAAACAACCUUUUUCUUCUGUAUGAAGGGUUCUCAACACUUGGUGCUUUUAAGUUAGGGCUUGAAGGAAGCCCUGGUGGCGUCCCCGAGCAGGCUAAUCAGAUGCUGAUUGACAGCCAGGCUGCCCUAGCUGUGCUGGCACCUCCCGUGUGCGUCCUGGGGCCAGCACUGCCGGCUGACUCUGUGCUGGCACUCGUGGGCAUUGUCAUCCUUAGCACUUUAAGGACCCCUGGGGAGGUGCCGGUGACUGCAUUUCACAGAGUGCAGAUAAUGUGGCCAGAGUCACUGCUUGGAGAGAAGUGGUCUGUGGUGGCAGUGUGCACCUGUCCCCGUGCUGGGCUGACUUCAGGGUGCCUUCCUGGGGCAGAAGCACAGGCUUGUGGACCCACGUCACUGGGAACCCAGUCAGGAGUUGGCUUCUUCCGGGUCUCCCAGGUGCACGCUGCUGAAGGAUGUGCCUGGAGACGUUGCCCGAGCGGGCUCCAACUCCACUUGUAAUUUUAGAGUGUAAAAGUGGGAAAUCUCAAAUGACAGCUUAAAAUAGAGUGGCUGAACGCUCAGGUACGGGGCCAUUACAAUUGUAUUUUUAGUAUUAGAGCAAAAAUACCCUAAGUACAGGAUAUUUUCAAAGAAUUUUUAUCCUCUGCUGCAUUAUUUUAGGCAAAGGUACAGGCACAUUAAACUAGUGCCAUCUAAUUAGUGGGUUCCAUCUAAUUAUAUUUUUGAUUCACCAGGGUUAUUAGGUUUGUGUUAGAAUUUCUUUGCCCUGUAAUUUUUUUCUUUUCUUUUCCUGCUUUUCUAGAAGCCAAGAAAUAUUUUAUAAAACUUAGACAAAACAUUUCCAGUAUUUUUCCCUUUAGAGACCUCUGGAAUAUUGAGUGUACUUUAAGACAUUUCUGUCUUUUCCAAGAUGCUUAUUUUAAGAUGCACAAACAGUUUGACUUUGGUAGAAACUAGUUACUGCUAAUGGGGUCCCUUAUGAACACUGUGUGUGUGUGUGUGUUGUGUGUGUGUGUGUGUUUACAGGCAUGCCUGUGUGUGCCCAUGUGUGUACAUGUGGGUGUGUGCACUUGUGUGUGCAUGUGUGUGUUCACAGUUGUGUCUGUGCAUGCGUGUAUAUACCCAUGAGUGUGCAUGUAGGCAUGUGCACUUGUGUGUAUGUUCACAGGCAUGCCUGGGCAUGCAUAUGUAUGCACUUGUGUGUGCAUGUGUGUGCUUGUGCAAGUGUAUUCACAGGCGUGCCUGGGCAUGCAUUUGUUUGCUCAUGUGUGUGCACGUGGGCGUGUGCACUUGUGUGUGCAUGUGUGUGCACGUGAGCAUGAGCACUUGUGUGUAUGUUCACAGGCGUGCAUGUGCAUGCAU